RNAcentral lists this microRNA precursor (88 nucleotides) under Bombyx mori (domestic silkworm). RNAcentral describes it as "mir-2807 microRNA precursor family". It matches the Rfam family "mir-2807 microRNA precursor family". The record is from Rfam by way of RNAcentral. Lineage: Eukaryota; Metazoa; Arthropoda; Insecta; Lepidoptera; Bombycidae.
UUAACUCAAAUUUAUAUAGAGGUGGAACGUUUGCCUACGUUUGCUGCUUGCUAGGCGCGCUGUUCCGGCUGCAUACAAAUUUGAGUUA